UGCAAGUGGCGAAAUUCCGGUAGUCUGAGAGAUGCAGAAGGCGGAAGCACAACCAAAACGUCACUGAUAGCACUCGAAACCUGCAUUUUCAGAAUUGUAGCUUUCGCGCCCAAACGAAUAGGGCUGUAAUAUGUAGCAGAGAAGAAGCGAAGGCCAAGGAACAAGCAACGGUUUUGUUAGCUGGUCGUUAAAGCAGUUUGCUCGUGAUAACACCAAUUGAUUGAAUAAAUACAAAAUACAUGAGGAUUUUCAAAAUUCACCCAGGAACAAAAUAAUCUGGUCGGUUUCAAAGCCGUUUCAGAAAUUUGUAGCGAGAUACACAUGGAAGUAUUGGGAAAGCAGGAAUAAUAAGAGAGAAAAUCCCUAAAUAUGGGGUAACUAUUGAGUCCCGAAAUUGUUGCAGAAAAUAGAACAUGGAAAAGGUGUAUGAAGGUGAGGGAGGAUGAAGAAUGAUGUGAAAGUGAUUACCUUAGAUGGUGUGAUGGAAUUUGGAAAUUGGGUGUUGGAUGUGGAAAUUGUUGGGUUGGAGAAGAUGGAAGAGGAACACCGCCGAAAUUUUGAGAUGGG
Molecule: long non-coding RNA, 567 nt
Filed under: Vigna radiata
Lineage: Eukaryota; Viridiplantae; Streptophyta; Magnoliopsida; Fabales; Fabaceae
Description: long non-coding RNA (VRAD_LNC016571)
Source: RNAcentral